AUAUGUAGCCUUGGGGUUCCAACACCAUCACAAUAAUGCGGAGACCAGUUCCCCGUAAGGACAGCGCCGAGGCGGAUAGGUUAUUUCCGUGGCUGUUACCCAGCAGACGUUUUAUAUCUACUAGCCUUACGAGACGUCCCAAUCUUGUGGUGCCCAAGAAGAAAAAAAGAAUCUCCAAGCAUAAGUCAAGUCAAGAUCAUCUGGAAAACAUGUUAAUGUUCUGCUCAAGAAGACAAAAGACAUCACCCAAAUCCCCCACCUAAGUGAGCAAGAAGAAAAAGAAAGUGAGCAAGAAGAAAAAGAAAGUGAGCAAGAAGAAAAAGAAGAUGUUGUUUUAACUUAAAAAAAAAACUUGCUUUUGCUAUCCUUUAUCAGGACUCGAAAACCUUGUUUUUAUGUUAUAUGUGUGGUUUUGAGAAAUCUUUGUCAUGAUGAUAUGGUAAUGUGGUAAUAAUAUAACUACUUUUUUCAA
Raphanus sativus (radish) is the source of this 472-nucleotide long non-coding RNA. RefSeq lists it as uncharacterized. NCBI's taxonomy places the organism in Eukaryota, Viridiplantae, Streptophyta, Magnoliopsida, Brassicales, Brassicaceae. The record is from RefSeq and is a predicted model, not a curated record. The transcript has 3 exons.